ACAAUACACACACUACAUGCAUACACACCAACAAUCAGAUCUCUCUCUCUAAACUCUCCCGUAUCUUUCCCUUUCACUGCCGCCCACUGCCGACGCCGGAGUCCAGUGGAGACUCCACCACUACCAACGCCAGCCUACUCUCUUCCUCCCUCCUUCCUGUCGUCCAACACCACUCACCAAGCCGCCGACCUUACUCCCUUUCCCCGCGGCCAGCCACCAACAAAACCAGCCGGAGCCGCUGCCAAACAACCGUUUCCUUUCUCUUUUCUCCUCCUUUCUCUCCCUUUAUACAUCACCAAACAACUCCAGCGAACCUCCAACACGCCACGCCGCCACUUCCCCUUCGGAAACGGUCCAGAUCAGGCCGAAUUUUGACAAUCUGGCGUCGCUCCGGCAAGAGCCGUGGAAGCGACGUUGUUCGUUUUCUCCUCUGUUUUUGGACCUUUGUCACUGUCGCCACUGUUUUGGGUUGUUACUAUUUUAUUAUUAUCAUGUUGUCAAUGUGAUGCUAUGAAAUCUAUAAAUUUGACCGGAGUUGGUUGUUCUCCGAUGAAGCUUUAUUAAAAUGGACAAAGCUCAACUAUUGUUGCUCUCUUUCGUAACUUUGAUGACUGCUUUAUAAUUUUUUUUUUGCUGUAUUUGCUUUCUGCUUUUUAAUAUUUAAUUUUAUCGUUUUGCACUGUUUUGGUCAUCUUUUUGAUGCUUACUGUUAUUUAAUAUUCGUUUUCAAGGCUUUGUUCUGUUUUUGGCUAUCUUUGCAAUGGAUGUGUUGCUGUACUCUUCAUUUUCACCCAAAAAAUUUACUCCAGAGAUGUUUUGCUUUAUUACUGUGUGGCUAAUUUUAUUUUUUUUACUGAUUUGGACAUUUGUCCUUCCAUUUUGCCUUGUUUUUUCGCCUUUUUAUUUAUUACACUAAUGGAUAAAUACUACGCUAUUGGCCAAUAAAAUUCUCUUUUUGUCAUAUUUGAGGUCACCCAUUACAAAAGAUGGAUUUUAUUUUAUCAAAAUUAUUAUUUUAUAUUAAGGGUCUAUACUUGACCAAUAAAGAAAUUUUUCAUCAAUUUUUGAGAUUUAUAUAAAUAAAAGACGGAUAUUAUAUAUAUAAAUACAUAAUAAAAUAAUAAAUUUGGGCGAUUAUGAAAUUUUUAUAACAAUGUAAAAGUUUUAUGAUUCGUAGUUUGACAAGACGAAUUAGGAGGGCUAAUAAAUCAGCAACCGCUUCAUAGCCAUGUGGUAUUUAAAAUUUAAUUUGAGCCCACCUUUUGACGAAAAAUUAUAUUUUCUAUACAUAUAUAUGCACAUACAUUCUUCAUUUAUUUUGAUAGUUGUUUAUUUGUUACUAACAUUUUACUACUAGUGUUUAUAUAGGUUAUUCGGAAUAUUUAUCGGAAAUGGCAUGCAAAAGAUUUUAAUUUUUAUGUUUGUAUUUUAUAUUUUUACACUUGUGCAAAUAGCGAUUAUAGUGAAAAUUUUAUUUUUUGGGGCAUUGGGCGGGAAUAUUCUUACUUAUACAGUAUCCAUCGUGUGUUUAGACAAAUUUAGGCAUCAAUAUUUAUAUUAAAUUGAUUUAGAUAAUUUAAUCUAAUCAUUCACACUUUUUACGUAGUCUUUCUUUAAAAUAAGUUUUCUUUAUUCGAUUUAGUCUAUUCUUUACAUAUAUACCCUAGUAUACUUUUAUUUGUAUAUUUUACGACAGCAUAUGCAUUAUAUUAUUUCAAUACAUAUUAUAUAUUUGUAUUUACAAACAUUAAUUUUUCUCUUUCAUUUUUUAAUAAACAUAAGUUUGGUCAGAAAUUACAUUUGUGGAUUUUGAAGGGUGUCUAACACCUUCCUUUCGAAAUAAUUUGAACUCUUACCUAGAAUUCAAAUUGAUUUCAUAGAUUAAAUAAAUCACACUUGUUAAAUAAAUAAAUAGAUUUCCUAUUUUUUAGUAAAAAUUAGGUGGUGACUCUGUACAAAUUAAUUCUUUUUAGAACCCAUAAUGUCGUGCUCAUUGUGACCUUACGUAAAAAUCGGGUAUGACAAUUUAGCAACUCCGCUGGGAAGCAAGGUUCUAAUCAUUACAAAUUUAGGUAAAUAUUUAUAUUUUUUAUAUAUUGUUAUUUGUUUUACACUAAUUGUCUUGAAUUAUUUUGUUUAUAUGGCAUAAAUUAUUUAUUUGUUAGUAUUUUGUAUAUAUUGUUUAUUUGUUUAUCGCUUGAUAUAAAUUGACAUUGCGUUCAUAUUUUCUCCAUUUUGAAAAAUUGACAUUCAUACACAUUGUACACGCGAAUUGUACAUUGUACUUUUUCAAAAAAAUUUCAAAUCACCUUAUUUUAGAGAGUUGGUGUAUACGUGGGGCGAGCAGGAGUUUUACUAUCGUGGAACCACGUGCUUUCUCAUAUAAGAAAUCCAAGUUCUUAUCAACCCACUCUUAGUCGGCAUAGUAUAGAGCUAAAAUAACGCAUUUUAGGUACAUGUAUAUUCGUCAAUUUAUCCAAAUGUCCAAACGACCCGAGUGAAACAUUCAUAUUCUCUGUACAUAUUUGGAAGAUGAUUGUGCAUAUAUGUUAGCUGCUUGCUUUAAGUUGGUUAUGGUUUAGUAGGGAAGGUGUAAUCUAACUUUUAUUUUGUAAAGCGGAUUAGUUAAAAGUGCACUUUUCCAAUAUUGUUGAUAGUUAUGUAUAGAUUUGAACUACGUUUCGAUCAGAUUCUUGUCCUGACAAGAUACGUAGACAGCCCUGUAUUAGAGUUCGGUCUCUUCAUUAUUUUAGAAUAAUUUUUUCGAUAUUCAAGAUUGGGGCAAGUUUUCUGGAACAGUUCAAAGACGCUCUCUAAUGUCCUUCAAGAGCUCAAAUCAAUAGCUCCUCAAAAUUCAAAUUUCAUUGACAUUAAUGUCUAGCCGUCCUACCUGUAGAUUCUCACUCAAUUUUGAUUUGAGAAUACCUAGGUUCUUCUUUCAAACAUCGUAAAUAAUUAGAUUUAUGGCGUAUCGAUCCUCACUUUCAAAAGCAAGGGUUUAACAUUUUUUCAGUUAUAAUAAUUCUGUCAAUUUCAGCGAAAUAAGGUCAUAAUUUCUUCAAUAUCUGACUUUUUUAAUCUUGUCAGCAUAUUGAAGUUGUGUUAAAGCUCUCCCCAUACUUUACAUCUAUUCUUUCAAUCAUUUGAUCAGAACAAUUUUGAUGUUAAAAGCAGUUCUUUCCUGAUUCUUUUUAUAUUAUUUUUAUGAAUGACCAUCAAUUUUUUUUACAAUCAUACAUUGUACAUACAAAUUUGCAAAUUUGUCUGAACUACGCAGACCUGAUUCUUAUUUUCACAAGAUACGUAGAUAAUCUUUAUUUGGAUUCGAUCCCAUUAUUUUAGAAAAAUAAUAAAAUUUUAACUUGGUUGGUACCAAUACAGUUAGGAGUGUGCAUGAGAAAGAACAAAAUGGUAUGAUGUAAAGGACCGAUUUCAUGGUAAACCAUAGAUUCUCUUGGUACCUAAUAUCACACCUGAGUAACGCCUGAAAAUUCUCUUGCAUACAUCUAAAACAAGAACGAAACCAACUUCAUCAUUUCAUGUGCAUUGUGUGGUUAGCUUUAGUUUAAUUCAUUGUAUUGGAUUGUUGAUCUAGAACUUGGCCUUAAUGUCUGUUGAGGCGAAAUUCUGAGUUGCACUUGAUUUAAGAAAGGAUUGUAGGCCUUCUAUGGACCGAUUGAGCUUUAUAUAGCCUACCAAAUGACAUUAACCUCUAUCAUUCCCUUUUUUAGCCUAAAACCCUUUCUUUGGACAACCAAAGCUGCGUUUAUACCUUUUUGAGUGCUUACAUGCAUUAUUCCUCUCUUGGCCCUAUCUCCUUGAACGCACUAAAUACGUACAAAUUACGGACAAAGAUUCAAGAGCAAAGACGCAAAAUGUAAAAAAAAUAUUGUCCAGAUGAACAAAAAUGAAAAAAUGACUUCAAAAGGAGCAAAACCCCACAAAAAUGAGAAAAGAAAAAAAAAGAACAAAAAAUAUGAUUUGUUGAAAAAUGGGGUAAACUCUUACACAAGGUUCAAAAGAAGUCGAAGCAAGAAGAUCACGCGUCAAAGCACAACAAAUGUUGAAAGCACAAAUAGUGUGUAAUACUUAUUGAGGAAUUAGUCACUUUUAUCCCAAAUAUUAUCCUACCCGUUCCCAAGCCUGCAUUACAAGCUAAUAGUAAGUUCUACGAGAUUUUAUUUCAAGUGUUCUCACAUUAGUGCAUACAUACAUGUAGGUCAAGCCUUUGGCACCGCAAUUGCGUGCAUUGAAUUUUUUUUUUAGUGUGGGUGUAUUUUUCUUGAUGUCCCCAAAUUCAAAAAGAAAAAUUACUCAAAUAUGUAUGAAAUGAGACUUUCUUUUACUCAAAUGUGUGAAAAGUGGGACUUUCUUUCUGGAGAAGGCACCUGAAGCACGAGGAUAUGCAUAAUUCGAAACAUUUGUUGUGUAAUCUAACUUUUAUUUUGUAAAGCGGAUUAGUUAAAAGUGCACUUUUCCAAUAUUGUUGAUAGUUAUGUAUAGAUUUGAACUACGUUUCGAUCAGAUUCUUGUCCUGACAAGAUACGUAGACAGCCCUGUAUUAGAGUUCGGUCUCUUCAUUAUUUUAGAAUAAUUUUUUCGAUAUUCAAGAUUGGGGCAAGUUUUCUGGAACAGUUCAAAGACGCUCUCUAAUGUCCUUCAAGAGCUCAAAUCAAUAGCUCCUCAAAAUUCAAAUUUCAUUGACAUUAAUGUCUAGCCGUCCUACCUGUAGAUUCUCACUCAAUUUUGAUUUGAGAAUACCUAGGUUCUUCUUUCAAACAUCGUAAAUAAUUAGAUUUAUGGCGUAUCGAUCCUCACUUUCAAAAGCAAGGGUUUAACAUUUUUUCAGUUAUAAUAAUUCUGUCAAUUUCAGCGAAAUAAGGUCAUAAUUUCUUCAAUAUCUGACUUUUUUAAUCUUGUCAGCAUAUUGAAGUUGUGUUAAAGCUCUCCCCAUACUUUACAUCUAUUCUUUCAAUCAUUUGAUCAGAACAAUUUUGAUGUUAAAAGCAGUUCUUUCCUGAUUCUUUUUAUAUUAUUUUUAUGAAUGACCAUCAAUUUUUUUUACAAUCAUACAUUGUACAUACAAAUUUGCAAAUUUGUCUGAACUACGCAGACCUGAUUCUUAUUUUCACAAGAUACGUAGAUAAUCUUUAUUUGGAUUCGAUCCCAUUAUUUUAGAAAAAUAAUAAAAUUUUAACUUGGUUGGUACCAAUACAGUUAGGAGUGUGCAUGAGAAAGAACAAAAUGGUAUGAUGUAAAGGACCGAUUUCAUGGUAAACCAUAGAUUCUCUUGGUACCUAAUAUCACACCUGAGUAACGCCUGAAAAUUCUCUUGCAUACAUCUAAAACAAGAACGAAACCAACUUCAUCAUUUCAUGUGCAUUGUGUGGUUAGCUUUAGUUUAAUUCAUUGUAUUGGAUUGUUGAUCUAGAACUUGGCCUUAAUGUCUGUUGAGGCGAAAUUCUGAGUUGCACUUGAUUUAAGAAAGGAUUGUAGGCCUUCUAUGGACCGAUUGAGCUUUAUAUAGCCUACCAAAUGACAUUAACCUCUAUCAUUCCCUUUUUUAGCCUAAAACCCUUUCUUUGGACAACCAAAGCUGCGUUUAUACCUUUUUGAGUGCUUACAUGCAUUAUUCCUCUCUUGGCCCUAUCUCCUUGAACGCACUAAAUACGUACAAAUUACGGACAAAGAUUCAAGAGCAAAGACGCAAAAUGUAAAAAAAAUAUUGUCCAGAUGAACAAAAAUGAAAAAAUGACUUCAAAAGGAGCAAAACCCCACAAAAAUGAGAAAAGAAAAAAAAAGAACAAAAAAUAUGAUUUGUUGAAAAAUGGGGUAAACUCUUACACAAGGUUCAAAAGAAGUCGAAGCAAGAAGAUCACGCGUCAAAGCACAACAAAUGUUGAAAGCACAAAUAGUGUGUAAUACUUAUUGAGGAAUUAGUCACUUUUAUCCCAAAUAUUAUCCUACCCGUUCCCAAGCCUGCAUUACAAGCUAAUAGUAAGUUCUACGAGAUUUUAUUUCAAGUGUUCUCACAUUAGUGCAUACAUACAUGUAGGUCAAGCCUUUGGCACCGCAAUUGCGUGCAUUGAAUUUUUUUUUUAGUGUGGGUGUAUUUUUCUUGAUGUCCCCAAAUUCAAAAAGAAAAAUUACUCAAAUAUGUAUGAAAUGAGACUUUCUUUUACUCAAAUGUGUGAAAAGUGGGACUUUCUUUCUGGAGAAGGCACCUGAAGCACGAGGAUAUGCAUAAUUCGAAACAUUUGUUUAAAGCAAGAUAAAAAAAAUUUGUCGAUACUUAGGCAUGUCUAAUCUACUUGAAACUAUAGAAGUUACCCUGAAGUUGAUCUCAGUUAGCUGAGAAAAUGAUGAAAAAAUUCUUAUGCACACUACUAAUAUUGGUACCAACUGAAGCCAGGAGAUGAUCGCGUCUUCUUUAUCUUUCACACUUUUUAUCAAGAAAAUAAAAAAUUCUUUCUUUCUUUUUUCAAGAUGUCCACUUUCAUAUACAGGCAUUUGUUUUACCUUUCAUUUAUGGUGUCCACUUUCACAUACAUGCAUUUCUAUUUUUAUUUGAAGGCGUUCGAUUUUGAAAUACGGGCAUUUGACUUUUUUCUUUCAAGCACAUACCUUUAAUACCGUCAUUUUAUUCUUUUUCUUAGGCACUCAUCUUGAGUAUUUAUAUUUUUUAUAGUCUUACCAGUCGAGAGGCUAUUAGAGUCCAACCAUUUCACUAGUUGAGGGUCUCUGUCUUCUUAGGCAAUAGAAGACGACAAUAAACAUCAGCCUCCAUAAGCAAUUGAAGAUAUCAUGCAUCAAAUCUUUGUAAGCAAUAGGAAACGUCAUUCUCAAGUCCUCGUAGACAAUCGGGAGACGUCAUGCACUUUUUUAGUAACAAGAUUUUUUUAAGUUUCUUUCAAAGAAGCAAUGUCAGCAUAAAUAAUACACGGGUAAAUUUUGAGAGUCACCUCAAAUUUAACCUAUUUCCUCAUUUCGCACCACAUUGACCUGAUUCUCGUAACACUCGAGAUAUGUAGGAAGCUCUAUGCAGAAUUCGAUCACCACAACCCCAUAAUCAUUCUUUCUCUCCAACAAAUAUACAAUCUUGCAUUCCCCAGCAUCUCAAAGCUUGAUACUGGGUAAUUUUUGAAAGUAGCAUUGGGAAUAUAUGAACACUUUCAUUUCUAAAUAAUUCUUUGUUCAAUAAUUAUUAUUACAGGAAAUUGUCCACCUUAAAGUAGGAUAAUUGGGUCAGUCUGCCCUCCAAAAGACAGUUGUACAUAUUUUUCUUCAAUUUAAUACUUGUUUGUCUUUACUUGCAUAUAUCGCACUUCAUUUAUUUCUUUUUGCACUGUAUGUUAUCUUUGCCUUUACCUGCACGCAUCGCAAUGUAUUUAUUUUAUCAUUUGUUAUUUAAGCACUGUAUAUUUUCCUUGUCUUUAUUUGCACAUCUCACAAUGCAUUUAUUUUAUUAUUUAACAUUGCAUGUUAUUUUUUGCCUUUGUUGGAACAUAUCGCAAUGCAUUUAUUUUAUCAUUUAAGCAUUGUAUUUUAUCUUUGCCAUUAUUUGCAUGCAUCGCAAUGAAAUUAUUUUAUCGUUUAAACAUCGCAUUCUAUUUUUGCCUUUACUUACACACAUCACAAUGCAUUUAUUUUAUCAUUUAAGCACUACAUGUUAUUCCUGCAUUUACUUGCAUGCACCGCAAUGCAUUUAUUUAUUUUAUCAUUUAAGCACCACAUGCUAUAUUUAUCUUUAUCCGCACACAUCGCAAUGCAUUAAAGCAUCGCAUGUUAUUUUUGCUUUUAUCUGCACCUCGUAAUGCACUUAUUUUAUCAUUUAAGCACCGCAUGUCAUAUUUGUCUUUAUCUACGCAUAUUGCUAUGCAUUCAUUUUAUCAUUUAGGCACUGCACGCUUAGCAAAUAUUGCAAUGCAUUUAUUUCAUCAUUUAAGUACUGCAUGUCAUUUUUGCUUUUACUGGUUCAUAUAGCAAUGCAUUUUGUUAUUUUAGCACUACAUGCCUCGCAAAUAUCGUAAUGCAUUUAUUUUAUUAUUUAAGCAUCGCAUGUCAUUCUUGCUCGUACUUAUUGCAAUGUAUUUAUUUUAUCAUUUCAGCAUUGCAUGUCAUUCUUAUCUUUUUUGGCGCAUAUUGCUAUACAUUUAAGCACUGCACGCACAUAACGUAAUGCAUUUAUUUUAUCAUUUAAGCACUACAUGUCUCGCAAAUAUCGCAAUGCAUUUAUUUCAUCAUUUAAGCACUGCAUGUCAUCUUGACCUUUACCAGCAUAUAUUGCAAUGCAUUCGCCUUAUCAUUUAAGCACUGCAUAUCAUUUUUGUCUUUACUUUCACAUCGUAAUAUAUUUAUUUUGUUAUUUAAGCACUGUAUACUUUGUCUUUACCUGCACAUACCGCAAUUCACUUAUUUUACCAUUUAAGCACUGAAUGUUAUCUUUGCCUAUACCAUUUUUUUUUCUUAUUUAGUUAAGACUACAUAUUAUCUUUAAAUUCUCAAAAAAAAAAUAAAGAAAAAAAAGGAAAAAAAGAAAAAAACAUCCACUUUAAUUUUUUCUAAAAUUUUUGCAAGCAGGAAUUGGAUUUAUCCACCCUAAAAUAGAAUAUUUUGGAUUAAUCUGCCCUCUAAUAAGACCUUUAUGCGAGUCUACCUUCAGUUGAAUAUUUUGCUUGUCUUUGAUUUCAAUUGUGCAAUGAUCUUAUUUAUUUAUCCUUACAUUAGUUAAAGCAUUACAUAUCUUUUUUGGAAUCUCUUGAAAAAAAAUAAACAAAAAUCAAGCUUAGUUACUUGUUUGUCUACUGUUUUUCAAUUUUAUAAAUUUUGCAAGCAUAGAAUUCGAGAACGCAUUGGGUAUAUUCAACCCAAAAUACGCUAUGUCGGGAUAGCUUUUGAACUAUACCCUACCUGCUCUCCAUGCAACUUGAAGCAUUUAGACGACUCUAAAUUGGAGUUCACACGAUUUUUUUUAUCAACAAUAAUUUUUUGUCGAGCGAAAUUAGCUACACGUCAACGUUUUUGUUUGAAUAUUUCUACAUUAUCUUCAAACGAAAAGGAGCAAACUAUUGACACCCAAUUUUGACUCUCCAAAUAUAAAAUUAACGGAUUUAAGCUUCCUGAUCGUUAAAUGACACAAUAUGUAAUUUUUCAAAUAUUUUUUGCAAUUGUUAAUAAAUUGUUGAUAAUCAUCAUUAUUUUAUAAUUUUUACUCAUUUAUUAUCAUAUUUUAAUUUUAUAUGAUUUAUUAAUAACUAUCUUUAAUUUCAUAAAUUUUAAAAUUUUAUCAGUUUAUUAUUAUUUUGAUAUUUUUUGCACAGUCCUCUACAUACGUAUAUAACAUAGCACUACAAUUCUUUAUGGCGUAGUAUAAUUCUAAUCAUUUAUAGCAUAAUAUAUUUUUUCAAGACAAUUAUAUUUUUUAUUUGUUGUUUAUAUUUUUUCUGUAAUUAUACAUCAAUAUUUAUAUUUUUAUAUAUUAUUUAAUAUGACUUAUAAAUAUGAGUUGAUUUAAUUAUUUUAAUACAUAAAAUAAUAAAUUAAUUAAAUCAAAAUUUUAUUAUUUUUUUUAAUUUUUUGACUUUAUUUCACUCAUUAUUCCUAACAGUAUUAUUUUUUUUUCUUUUUUAAAUACUCCCCACCACACAGUUCACACAUACUACACUCAUAUUCACCAACAAUCAGAUCUUUCUCUCUCUUUUUAAACUCUCCCGUACCUUUCCUUUUCACUGCCGCCCACUGCCGACGCCGGAGUCCUGUGGAGACUCCACCACUACUAACGCCAGCUUACUCUCUUCCUUCCUCCUUCCUAUCGGAGCUGCUGCCAAACACCCAUUUCCUUUCUCUUUUCUCCUCAUUUCUCUCCCUUUCUCCAUCCCCAAACAACACCGGCAAACCUCCAACACGCCACGCUGCCACUGCCCCAUCGAAAAUGGGCCAGAUAUAGCCGAAUUUUGACAAUCCGACGUUGCUCCGGCAAGAGCCAUGGAAGCAACGUUGUUCCUUUUCUCCUCUGUUUUUGGACCUUUGUCACUAUCGCCACUGUUUUGGGUUGUUACUAUUUUAUUAUUAUCAUUUUGUCAAUGUGAUGCUAUGAAAUCUAUAAAUUUGACCGGAGUUGGUUGUUCUCCGAUGAAGCUUUAUUAAAAU
Molecule: long non-coding RNA, 10149 nt
Filed under: Capsicum annuum
Lineage: Eukaryota; Viridiplantae; Streptophyta; Magnoliopsida; Solanales; Solanaceae
Description: long non-coding RNA (CANN_LNC020178)
Source: RNAcentral